GGUUUGAUUAUGGCUCAGAUUGAACGCUGGCGGGAUGUUUACACACAUGCAAGUCGAACGGCAGCACGGACUUCGGUCUGGUGGCGAGUGGCGAACGGGUGAGUAGUGUAUCGGAACGUGCCUAGUAGCGGGGAUAACUACGCGAAAGCGUAGCUAAUACCGCACAGCACCCCGGGGAAAGCGGGGACCUUCGGGCCUCGCACUAUUAGAGCGGCCGAUAUCGGAUUAGCUAGUUGGUGGGGUAACGGCUCACCAAUGGCGACGAUCCGUGGCUGGUUUGAGAGGACGACCAGCCACACUGGGACUGAGACACGGCCCAGACUCCUACGGGAGGCAGCAGUGGGGAAUUUUGGACAAUGGGGGAAACCCUGAUCCAGCCAUCCCGCGUGUGCGAUGAAGGCCUUCGGGGUUGUAAAGCACUUUUGGCAGGAAAGAAACGGCACGGGAUAAUACCCCGUGCAACUGACGGUACCUGCAGAACAAGCACCGGCUAACUACGUGCCAGCAGCCGCGGUAAUACGUAGGGUGCAAGCGUUAAUCGGAAUUACUGGGCGUAAAGCGUGCGCAGGCGGUUCGGAAAGAAAGAUGUGAAAUCCCAGAGCUUAACUUUAAACUGCAUUUUUAACUACCGAGCUAGAGUGUGUCAGGAGGGAGGUGGAAUUCCGCGUGUAGCAGUGAAAUGCGUAGAUAUGCGGAGGAACACCGAUGGCGAAGGCAGCCUCCUGGGAUAACACUGACGCUCAUGCACGAAAGCGUGGGGAGCAAACAGGAUUAGAUACCCUGUAGUCCACGCCCUAAACGAUGUCAACUAGCUGUUGGGGCCUUCGGGCCUUGGUAGCGCAGCUAACGCGUGAAGUUGACCGCCUGGGGAGUACGGUCGCAAGAUUAAAACUCAAAGGAAUUGACGGGUGACCCGCACAAGCGGUGGAUGAUGUGGAUUAAUUCGAUGCAACGCGAAAAACCUUACCGUUCUCUUUGACAUGUCUGGAAUCCCGAAGAGAUUUGGGAGUGCUCGCAAGAGAACCGAACACAGGUGCUGCAUGGCUGUCGUCAGCUCGUCGUGAGAUGUUGGGUUAAGUCCGGCAACGAGCGCAACCCUUGUCAUUAGUUGCUACGAAAGGGCACUCUAAUGAGACUGCCGGUGACAAACCGAGGAAGGUGGGGAUGACGUCAAGUCCUCAUGGCCCUUAUGGGUAGGGCUUCACACGUCAUACAAUGGUCGGGACAGAGGGUCGCCAACCCGCGAGGGGAGCCAAUCCCAGAAACCCGAUCGUAGUCCGGAUCGCAGUCUGCAACUCGACUGCGUGAAGUCGGAAUCGCUAGUAAUCGCGGAUCAGCAUGUCGCGGUGAAUACGUUCCCGGGUCUUGUACACACCGCCCGUCACACCAUGGGAGUGGGUUUUACCAGAAGUAGUUAGCCUAACCGUAAGGAGGGCGAUUACCACGGUAGGAUUCAUGACUGGGGUGAAGUCGUAACAAGGUAA
RNAcentral lists this ribosomal RNA (1484 nucleotides) under uncultured Bordetella sp. RNAcentral describes it as "partial 16S-23S ribosomal RNA intergenic spacer". It matches the Rfam family "Bacterial small subunit ribosomal RNA". Lineage: Bacteria; Pseudomonadati; Pseudomonadota; Betaproteobacteria; Burkholderiales; Alcaligenaceae. The record is from RNAcentral.